Molecule: long non-coding RNA, 349 nt
Organism: Drosophila willistoni
Lineage: Eukaryota; Metazoa; Arthropoda; Insecta; Diptera; Drosophilidae
Exons: 2
Source: RefSeq, a predicted model, not a curated record
UCAAAAUAAAAUAAAAUAGAAUCAAAAGUAACAAGUUCUAAAACAGAACAAAAUGAAUUUUGUAAAAGCAAUUAAAUGCAAUAUCGUCUGGCACGAAAUAAGCAAAUAAUCAAUUUCAAUGCCAUUCAUCUAAUAUCAAAUGGAAAAAAUGUCAAACGAAGAUGUCCUUAAGAUCCAGUUUAGGAAUUCAUAAAUAUGAUGCUUCUGUGACUGACAAACCCGUGCCAUAUUCAAUUGCUAAUUGAUUCUCGCCCGUGUUUUCCCACAUCCCACCCCAUUUAUGAAUGAUAAUGGCAACAAAAUACAAAGUAUAAUUGAAAUAAAAAUGUUCUGUCCACAGUUGCUUUAA